This 280-nucleotide long non-coding RNA is filed under the name Homo sapiens (human). RNAcentral describes it as "non-protein coding lnc-FNDC3B-10:1". Lineage: Eukaryota; Metazoa; Chordata; Mammalia; Primates; Hominidae. The record is from RNAcentral.
AUUGUACAAUUGUAGUGACACUACUGGCCUCCCAUAUGGUAGACCUUGACCUGGACUCCACAUGCAGACGGACCUGCUCCAGCUCUUAAAAACCAGUUUAGAGACCUGAAUCGAAGCCAGAAGAGUUUAAGGGCUUAAGUCAACACACUGAGACUCCACAUCAAACCACUCUUGCUUCUCCAUCUCUGCCUUUAUGACUGGGUUUAGAUAACUGGGCUUCUGCUACAUACCUCUGUUCCAGUGUCUGGGUGCCCGAUGAGUAAUGCCCGAAACUGGGUGU